RNAcentral lists this ribosomal RNA (506 nucleotides) under uncultured bacterium. RNAcentral's name for it is "bacterial SSU rRNA". It matches the Rfam family "Bacterial small subunit ribosomal RNA", at positions 28 to 533 of the family's 1533-position model. The record is from RNAcentral.
GAUGAACGCUAGCGGCAGGCUUAACACAUGCAAGUCGAGGGGCAGCACGUCUUCGGAUGGUGGCGACCGGCGCACGGGUGCGUAACGCGUAUACAAUCUACCUUUUACAGGGGCAUAGCCCGGGGAAACCCGGAUUAAUAUCCCAUAGUAUGUAGGGAUGGCAUCAUCUCUUUAUUAAAGUUUCGGCGGUAAAAGAUGAGUAUGCGUCCUAUUAGCUAGAUGGUAAGGUAACGGCUUACCAUGGCUACGAUAGGUAGGGGUCCUGAGAGGGAGAUCCCCCACACUGGUACUGAGACACGGACCAGACUCCUACGGGAGGCAGCAGUGAGGAAUAUUGGACAAUGGGCGAGAGCCUGAUCCAGCCAUGCCGCGUGCAGGAAGACUGCCCUAUGGGUUGUAAACUGCUUUUAUACGGGAAGAAACACCCCCUCGUGAGGGGGCUUGACGGUACCGUAUGAAUAAGGAUCGGCUAACUCCGUGCCAGCAGCCGCGGUAAUACGGAGGAU